UGUUCAUCAUGCUAUUGUAAAAUAAGAUGACAUGGGUAUAUUGUGAUUUGUUAAUUUGGUGCAGGAAAGGUAUGCAAUGCAUAGUUUUGGAAAGAUUAGAGAGCUUGAGAUACACUGGGGGAGGGUCAAAAGAUAUAUGGCUUGACAAGAACAAGCAGCCAGAUAUUUCAUUCAUGUUAGAGCCUUUAACAAUGAAGAAUACCAACAAAUGCAAAUUGAGUUACAAGACAUGAAGAAUCAGGUGAAGCAAUUAGAAGAGAUGAGAAAUCAGGAAUUAGAAGUGAUGAGAAAGCAAAUGGAAGAGACGAAGAGCCAACUUGCUAUGGUAUCUAAUAAUCGGAAUGAAAUUUAGAUAUUGUGUACGAGACAAGAUAGCUUUUUAUAUGUUAUGUAUGAAGUAUGUAUGACUUAUGAAUUAUAAACCUUGUACGUAUGGAUGUUGCUGUUGCUUUUGCUUUUAAUUUAUGACUUUUCUUUUAUUCAAA
Molecule: long non-coding RNA, 485 nt
Organism: Daucus carota subsp. sativus
Lineage: Eukaryota; Viridiplantae; Streptophyta; Magnoliopsida; Apiales; Apiaceae
Exons: 3
Source: RefSeq, a predicted model, not a curated record